CUUGUAUUGUGUGCUUAUUUAUUUGUUUAUUUGAAUUCUUUUAUUCUAUUAAGGGACUGGGCUAGGUGCUGAUAAUACAAAAAAGAUUAAGAUUCCUUUCCUCUUACUUGUAAUCAUCUGAUUAAUUGGCUGUUUCAUGGAUGUCACAGGGAGCAGACUGUAUAUUCCAAAGAUGACUACAGCAAGAUAUCCCAUUCUACAGGAUUUUCUACAAUCUCGCUACUCCUUCAUCAAGAGAUGUUGCGUCUAGAGAAUUGUCUCAGUUGAAGACGGCUAUAAUCUGCAGGCUGUAGCAGAGGCCCAAUGACUGCUUGAGGAUGGAAUUUGACAGGGGGCCCUUUCUCUGUUUGCUGUCACAAAUUUGAAACGAGAUCAAAGAUGAGCAUUCAACAGCACAAGCUUUAUUCAAUGGCCAAAGAAUGGAGAAGUGGGAACUAAGUUCGCAAAUCAACUUCUCAGCUCUUGGGGUGAUUAAG
Molecule: long non-coding RNA, 476 nt
Filed under: Equus caballus (horse)
Lineage: Eukaryota; Metazoa; Chordata; Mammalia; Perissodactyla; Equidae
Description: lncRNA (ENSECAG00000044038.1)
Source: RNAcentral